This 643-nucleotide unclassified non-coding RNA is filed under the name Hevea brasiliensis (rubber tree). The record is from RNAcentral. Lineage: Eukaryota; Viridiplantae; Streptophyta; Magnoliopsida; Malpighiales; Euphorbiaceae.
GAUCCAAAAGAGCCAUGAUUAAAACAUUCCAGGCAAACGUGACAAACACCAUCAUGGACAUUCACUUGUUUUGGGGUGGGAAUGGCACUUGCUGCAUGCCAUUUCAAUGUACAUACAGACUGUCAGCAAUUCAUGUUUCACAAGGUUCCUCUCGCAGCUAGUCGUGCAAAUUUUUCAUGUUUUCUGCUUUUGGUUGCAAUUUUCAUUUACAAACACUUUUCUUUUUCUUUUUUUCAUUUCUAGCUAGCUAGGCUCCAUUUUUUUUCCAGUUUCUGAUAGUACAGAAUCUUCCAAGCGGGACAAGAAGCAAGUAGGAAAACUUGUUGGGAUAGCAGUAGGACGUGCAGCUGGGCUAGUGAUAAUCUCUUCUAUAUUUCUAUCCUUGGUCGACGAGGGAUUCACCUAAACGCAUCCAAACUCACAGAGAACCACCUGGGUAGUGAUGAUGCCAGAAGCAAGAUGCACCCAAUAAUUAGCCAAGAAAUGCCUCCACCUCCAUCACAUUGUAUUAUAUAUAAUUGUGGAUUUUGGCUCUAUAGACUCAUCACUUGUCACUGUAACUAAAAAUUAAAUCGAACUAUUUUAACUUGAUUUAAUUGAUUUGAUUUGAUCUUAUUAAUUCUUUUAGAAAAUUCGAUUCGAU